This 253-nucleotide ribosomal RNA is filed under the name uncultured bacterium. RNAcentral's name for it is "partial 16S ribosomal RNA". It matches the Rfam family "Bacterial small subunit ribosomal RNA", at positions 524 to 776 of the family's 1533-position model. The record is from RNAcentral.
UACGUAGGGUGCAAGCGUUGUCCGGAAUUAUUGGGCGUAAAGAGCUCGUAGGCGGUUUGUUGCGUCGGCUGUGAAAUCCCGAGGCUCAACCUCGGGUCUGCAGUCGAUACGAGCAAACUAGAGUGUUGCAGGGGAGACUGGAAUUCCUGGUGUAGCGGUGAAAUGCGCAGAUAUCAGGAGGAACACCGGUGGCGAAGGCGGGUCUCUGGGCAACAACUGACGCUGAGGAGCGAAAGCGAGGGGAGCGAACAGG